RNAcentral lists this long non-coding RNA (363 nucleotides) under Fukomys damarensis (Damara mole-rat). RNAcentral's name for it is "lncRNA (ENSFDAG00000028773.1)". Lineage: Eukaryota; Metazoa; Chordata; Mammalia; Rodentia; Bathyergidae. The record is from RNAcentral.
CGCAAGCUUCCGCCCUUGGGCGCGGCCUCCGUGUGCACGUCACCUGUGCGCGUGUUGCCUGGGGUUAAUCUUAUGGCGUUCCUUUUUGUGCUUUCUGCUUUCCUGUCUGCAAAUUGGACUUCCUACACCCUCAAGCGCUACUCGUGUUGAAGAGUCACAUACUACAGGGUGAAUUUAAUGUAUAAACUCUGGAGCAUCCAUCUAACCAGUUUCAUCAGACUAACAGGACCACAGCAAGAAGUUUGGAGGCCCCUGUAACUCCUACGGUCAAACCAAAAUGCCGACUUCUUCCAGUCCUUUUAGUAAGUAAAUUCUGAUAAAUGUUAUAAAAUGCACAAUCUUAAGAUUCUUGUUCCUGCUUCU